This 375-nucleotide ribosomal RNA is filed under the name uncultured eukaryote. RNAcentral's name for it is "partial 18S ribosomal RNA". It matches the Rfam family "Eukaryotic small subunit ribosomal RNA", at positions 592 to 976 of the family's 1831-position model. The record is from RNAcentral.
CAAUAGCGUAUAUUUAAGUUGUUGCAGUUAAAAAGCUCGUAGUUGGAUUUCGGUUAAGAGCGACCGGUCCGCCGUUUGGUGUGCACUGGUUGGUUUUAACUUCCUGUAGAGGACGUGCUCUGGGUUUAACGACCUGGACUCGGAGUCUACGUGGUUACUUUGAAAAAAUUAGAGUGUUCAAAGCGGGCUUACGCUUGAAUAUUUCAGCAUGGAAUAACACUAUAGGACUCCUGUCCUAUUUCGUUGGUCUCGGGACGGGAGUAAUGAUUAAGAGGAACAGUUGGGGGCAUUCGUAUUUCACUGUCAGAGGUGAAAUUCUUGGAUUUAUGAAAGACGAACUUCUGCGAAAGCAUUUGCCAAGGAUGUUUNCAUUAA